GACGAGGGGUCCUAGCGUUGUUCGGAAUCACUGGGCGUAAAGCGCAUGUAGGCGGCUUGGUAAGUCAGUUGUGAAAGCCCUGGGCUCAACCCAGGAAGUGCAUCUGAUACUGCUGAGCUUGAAUAUGAGAGAGGGUAGUAGAAUUCCUGGUGUAGUGGUGAAAUACGUAGAUAUCAGGAGGAAUACCGGUGGCGAAGGCGGCUACCUGGCUCAAUAUUGACGCUGAGAUGCGAAAGCGUGGGGAUCAAACAGG
Molecule: ribosomal RNA, 253 nt
Filed under: uncultured bacterium
Lineage: Bacteria
Description: partial 16S ribosomal RNA
Rfam family: Bacterial small subunit ribosomal RNA
Source: RNAcentral